GAUGAACGCUAGCGGGAGGCCUAACACAUGCAAGCCGAGCGGUAUUGUUUCUUCGGAAAUGAGAGAGCGGCGUACGGGUGCGUAACACGUGUGCAACCUGCCUUUAUCUGGGGGAUAGCCUUUCGAAAGGAAGAUUAAUACUCCAUAAUAUAUUGAACGGCAUCGUUUAAUAUUGAAAGCUCCGGCGGAUAGAGAUGGGCACGCGCAAGAUUAGUUAGUUGGUGAGGUAACGGCUCACCAAGGCGAUGAUCUUUAGGGGGCCUGAGAGGGUGAUCCCCCACACUGGUACUGAGACACGGACCAGACUCCUACGGGAGGCAGCAGUGAGGAAUAUUGGACAAUGGGUGCAAGCCUGAUCCAGCCAUCCCGCGUGAAGGACGACUGCCCUAUGGGUUGUAAACUUCUUUUGUAUAGGGAUAAACCUACCCUCGUGAGGGUAGCUGAAGGUACUAUACGAAUAAGCACCGGCUAACUCCGUGCCAGCCGCCGCGGUAA
RNAcentral lists this ribosomal RNA (495 nucleotides) under uncultured bacterium. RNAcentral describes it as "partial 16S ribosomal RNA". It matches the Rfam family "Bacterial small subunit ribosomal RNA", at positions 28 to 523 of the family's 1533-position model. The record is from RNAcentral.